UUACAUAAUACAAAGACCACGCUUUAAGUUUCAUCCCAUAAUUUAUUGAUUAAUAUAGACAUGUACAUGAUCCUGUGAUCAAUAAUAUAAAGUAGAGAAUGUGAGGAAUAUGAGCUGAACACUCUGCUGCGAAGCAUCGUUAGUGUGUGUGUGUGUGUGUGUGUGUGUAUAAACUCAACACAGCGUGACGUGCAGCGGCUGCAUUCAGAUCAGAACAGUGCAUAACUCUCCAGACAUGAUUCACAGCAUCCACAGCCGCAGAGCUAGUCAUCACGAGCUGCGCUGCUUUGUUAUUAGCAAAGACAUGCAUCACAGUGUUACAUUUACAUGACAUCUCGGUAAAAAUGAAUAAAUAAAGACAUUAAUAUAUUAAUAUUUCAGAUUUUUGGUUGUAAGGCUAUAGAAUACAGUCUAAAAAUAGCACUGUUAUCUUCACUAUUCAGUAAUGCCUUUAGUUCACAUGAAAUCAUACAGUAGUUCACAGUCACAGGCGGUUUGCUACAUCAUCUGUUAGUACAGCAAGGAGGUUAGUCGGCUUGAUCACUAGCGGCUCACUAACUUACCUGUCUGUUCUGGGGCUUGCACUCUUGUAUGUGUCUCAGUACGUGGGUCGUGUCGUUUUAUCAUCACUUUCAUGUAUGUGCAACUAUUAACUGCUAUCACCUUUAGAUCUAACCUGAAAAACUGUAAACGGCAAACUUUGUUAGUUUGUGGGUGAAAUGACACUAGAAAUCUGCAUUCAGUCAGAAUAAUACUAACUCCAUCUAUUCUGGCAUCAUUUACUCGCAUUCAUAUGGAAGCCUGCUUGUGUUACGGAAAUUAAAAUUAAAUAAUGGUAACUGUGACAUCUAGUGUCACAAUUUGGACUUCAGACGUUUCUGACAAUAAAUGUAGAAUUGUGAGAUAUAAAUUCAGAAAUCUGGCUCUUUGUCUGAGUUUACAUCUUGCAAUUCUGACCUUUUUAAUACUUUUUAUAUAUAUGCCUUGAAAAAAAAAGUAUUAAAAGUAAUUGCAAAAUUUUAUAUCACAAGUCUGUUUUUUUUUUUUUUAAUCGCAAUUGACUUUCACAAUUCAGCCUUUUUUCACAGAAUUCUGGAUUUACAUCUGGCGACUGACUUUAUUCUUACAAUUCAGCCUUUUUUCAUAACUCUUAGUUUAUAUCUUACAAUUAAAAUGUUUGUUUUUGCCUUGGAAUUUUUAUUUUUAUUUUUUUAGUUAAUUGCGACUUUCUAUAUCACAAUUCUUACUUUUUCCUUGCAAUUCUGAGUUUAUAUCUCACAGUUCUCAGAAUUGCAAGACAAAAAGUCAAAUAUAAACUCAGAAUUGUGAGAUAAAAAGUUACAACUGCUCAUUUUAUUUCAUAUUCCAUAGUGGAAAUGUUCACACUGCUCUUUAUCAUACAGUAAAAACAUACUGUACAGUGACCAUAAACUUUUUUCUGCCGUAUAUCUGUGAAAUCUCAUAGAUGUGAUCUCAUGUACUUGUUCGUGCAUUAAGAUUCACUGAGUUCAGAUGCAGCUAUUUUGGAUGCUUGACAGCUUCGGUUCUCUGUCUGCUUUCACGGUUUGGCCCCAGAUCCUCCAAACGUGAUGUUUGCCGUGCCCCAUGGGUUUGGACAGAGUACAUGAUGACAGAGUGAAGGACUCGGUGCUGAUUUCUGUGUGACAGUCUGCGCUUCUCUUGACACCAAUGGUAAAAUCAACUAACACGAGGCUGAAGCGUGUGAUGUAUUUCACAGAAGAGCCCUAAUGGUUCAGUCCAGUAAUAAUAUUAGCAUAUUAUUAUAGAUCUGUUUGUCACACCAUAUCAAGACCGCAGAGGCACAGAAUCUCAUCUGAGCAGAUCAAUGCACUCAGCUUGUAUUUGGUCUCGUUUUCCAGUGAAAUCAGCUUAAAGAAGAUGAAUUUACUCGAGAAGCAAAAUUAUACAAGAUUGCGAGCCUUGCUUUCAGAGAACAUCUUAAAAGUAUUUCACCCCAAACAAUCUAAUCGAAUCAAAACUGAAGUAAAAUACUGAGAGGUUUAUAAAACAAGACAAUUUGUCAGUGGACGAAAAAAUAAACUUCUCUGAAAACUAGCCUCUAAUCAAUUGUAUUUUCAAUCUCAUUUUUUUGGAAAACACAGUAUUUAUGCUCAGAUGCUUGAAAGAUACUUAAAGAGUUUUUUGUAACCAAACUUUGCACCAAAUAACAACAAAUUCUGAUUGUUAAUAUUGGAUCUUUUUCAGUCCUGAACUCGUCUUUGUCUAAACUAAAGAUCACGUUAUUCAGAUGGAGUUCUAGACGUCUGCGGUCUUGAUCUGCGCUAGUUUCCUGCACUAAACCUGGUCCUCAACUAAAAAUACUGAUUCCCACUGAAUACGGUGUUUAGUUGAGGAAACCAGCGGGGAUCCGCGCGUUGGACGUCUAGAGGAGCUGCUGCUGGCCGUGUUUCUCGGUGUGGAAUACGUGAAGGGUUUGAGAGGCAGAAUCGGUCCAGUGGAUGAGCUCCAGCAGAACUCUGUAGGUCCAGAGUUUAGCAGCAAAACUAUCAGAACCUUCAACUUCAUCCUGACCCUGAAAAUCAACACCAGAGAAUGCUCAGCCUCUUUCUUAAAUACAUGCUCUUGGCCUUGUUGUGAAUGAUUAGUGAACCGUCUUACACAGAAAACACACUCAACAUGACCAGAGUUUGUAUUGUUUCUGAAAGAAGCCACUGUUGCUCACCAAGGCUGCACUGAACUGAUAAAAAUACAGUAACAUUGUGAUUUUUUUUUUUUGUGUGUGUGGAAAAUUUAGCAGUGUG
Cyprinus carpio carpio is the source of this 2783-nucleotide long non-coding RNA. NCBI's taxonomy places the organism in Eukaryota, Metazoa, Chordata, Actinopteri, Cypriniformes, Cyprinidae. The record is from Ensembl.